This 253-nucleotide ribosomal RNA is filed under the name uncultured bacterium. Its description in RNAcentral is "partial 16S ribosomal RNA". It matches the Rfam family "Bacterial small subunit ribosomal RNA", at positions 524 to 776 of the family's 1533-position model. The record is from RNAcentral.
UACGUAGGGGGCAAGCGUUGUCCGGAUUUACUGGGCGUAAAGAGCGUGUAGGCGGCCAAGCAGGUCCGUUGUGAAAACUGGAGGCUUAACCUCCAGACGUCGACGGAAACCGCGUGGCUAGAGUCCGGAAGAGGAGAGUGGAAUUCCUGGUGUAGCGGUGAAAUGCGCAGAUAUCAGGAGGAACACCGAUUGCGAAGGCAGCUCGCUGGGACGUAACUGACGCUGAGACGCGAAAGCGUGGGGAGCAAACAGG